This 467-nucleotide ribosomal RNA is filed under the name uncultured bacterium. Its description in RNAcentral is "partial 16S ribosomal RNA". It matches the Rfam family "Bacterial small subunit ribosomal RNA", at positions 28 to 507 of the family's 1533-position model. The record is from RNAcentral.
GACGAACGCUGGCGGCGUGCUUAACACAUGCAAGUCGAACGAUGACGACCGAGCUUGCUCGGUCUGAUUAGUGGCGAACGGGUAAGUAACACGUGAGCAACCCGCCCUUCACUCUGGGAUAACCUCGGGAAAUCGGGGCUAAUACCGGAUAUGAGCUCCUGUCGCAUGGCGGGUGUUGGAAAGUUUUUCGGUGAAGGAUGGGCUCGCGGCCUAUCAGUUUGUUGGUGAGGUAGUGGCUCACCAAGGCGAUGACGGGUAGCCGGCCUGAGAGGGCGACCGGCCACACUGGGACUGAGACACGGCCCAGACUCCUACGGGAGGCAGCAGUGGGGAAUAUUGCACAAUGGGCGAAAGCCUGAUGCAGCGACGCCGCGUGAGGGAUGACGGCCUUCGGGCUGUAAACCUCUUUCAGCAGGGAAGAAGCGAAAGUGACGGUACCUGCAGAAGAAGCGCCGGCUAACUACGUG